CGGGAGGCAGCAGUAGGGAAUCUUCCGCAAUGGACGAAAGUCCGACGGAGCAACGCCGCGUGAGUGAUGAAGGUUUUCGGAUCGUAAAGCUCUGUUGUUAGGGAAGAACAAGUACGAGAGUAACUACUCGUACCUUGACGGUACCUAACCAGAAAGCCACGGCUAACUACGUGCCAGCAGCCGCGGUAAUACGUAGGUGGCAAGCGUUGUCCGGAAUUAUUGGGCGUAAAGGGCUCGCAGGCGGUUUCUUAAGUCUGAUGUGAAAGCCCCCGGCUCAACCGGGGAAGGUCAUUGGAAACUGGGGAACUUGAGUGCAGAAGAGGAGAGUGGAAUUCCACGUGUAGCGGUGAAAUGCGUAGAGAUGUGGAGGAACACCAGUGGCGAAGGCGACUCUCUGGUCUGUAACUGACGCUGAGGAGCGAAAGCGUGGGGAGCGAACAGGAUUAGAUACCCUGGUAGUCCACGCCGUAAACGAUGAGUGCUAAGUGUUAGGGGGUUUCCGCCCCUUAGUGCUGCAGCUAACGCAUUAAGCACUCCGCCUGGGGAGUACGGUCGCAAGACUGAAACUCAAAGGAAUUG
RNAcentral lists this ribosomal RNA (579 nucleotides) under uncultured bacterium. Its description in RNAcentral is "bacterial SSU rRNA". It matches the Rfam family "Bacterial small subunit ribosomal RNA", at positions 342 to 912 of the family's 1533-position model. The record is from RNAcentral.